GGGUUGUGAGGUUAAGCGACUAAGCGUACACGGUGGAUGCCCUGGCAGUCAGAGGCGAUGAAGGACGUGCUAAUCUGCGAAAAGCGUCGGUAAGGUGAUAUGAACCGUUAUAGCCGGCGAUGUCCGAAUGGGGAAACCCAGUGCAAUUCGUUGCACUAUCGUUAACUGAAUACAUAGGUUAACGAGGCGAACCGGGGGAACUGAAACAUCUAAGUACCCCGAGGAAAAGAAAUCAACCGA
RNAcentral lists this ribosomal RNA (240 nucleotides) under Klebsiella pneumoniae. RNAcentral's name for it is "partial 23S ribosomal RNA". It matches the Rfam family "Bacterial large subunit ribosomal RNA", at positions 1 to 232 of the family's 2925-position model. The record is from RNAcentral. Lineage: Bacteria; Pseudomonadati; Pseudomonadota; Gammaproteobacteria; Enterobacterales; Enterobacteriaceae. RNAcentral also lists the same sequence under 2 other names.